Long non-coding RNA from Juglans microcarpa x Juglans regia, 636 nucleotides. RefSeq lists it as uncharacterized. The record is from RefSeq and is a predicted model, not a curated record. Lineage: Eukaryota; Viridiplantae; Streptophyta; Magnoliopsida; Fagales; Juglandaceae. The transcript has 3 exons.
UCACCACUUCAUCCUCGACCUCCAAGCAACCCAUUGGACCCAACCCCACCUCCGAUCCGCCACCGGUGAAGCACAUCCAACUCGAUUUCCGUUUCGGAUAUUUUUGGCCUUAAGCCACCAUUUGAGCCGCCACCCACGGCCAACCAUCACCACCACUAGCUUCACCGACAUCCCUAGGCCAUACCCUAUCAAUCUCAGGUCUUCGUUUGCACCCGUUGAAAAGUGGGGAUCUGUGACCCACGGCCAUAGUGUAUUUUGCACUAUUCUGUAGUUGUUUUUCCACUUCUUGCGCCUCCGUGAUCCUCCAAAGAUUAUUAUAUAGCACUGUGACGAUUUAUAGUCGACUCGACAUUUUUGAGGAAAUUUUUGGAAAAGUUAAGUCGUCCAGAUGAUUUGAAUGUUUCAGUUGAGGAUCAAGGAUAUGGAGCAUGGGUGAGAAGAGUUAGAAUGAUGGUUUAAGCAUAGAAGAUUUAUAUGGGUAUUGAAAGUUUUCAUUCAGUAAGCUUGUUGGGUUCUGAUGUUGUGAUUUGUUGGGAGAUUGAUGUUUAUAUUAAGACUUUGUAUUGUCUUAGAAUAGUUAUUCUGGAGUAAGUGAUGUAAAUAUGUGAGUAUUUUGUGCGAUAGAGAAAAAUUAGA